GCCGGUUCUCGUACGAUCACCGAAGUUAAGCAGCGUAGAGCCAGGUCAGUACUUAGAUGGGGGACCGCUUGGGAACACCUGGUACUGUAAGC
RNAcentral lists this ribosomal RNA (92 nucleotides) under Acanthosepion pharaonis. The record is from RNAcentral. Lineage: Eukaryota; Metazoa; Mollusca; Cephalopoda; Sepiida; Sepiidae.